AAAGCUAUACAAAUAGGAUAUUCCCGAAAAUAAAAGAUCUAUAAACAAUAUCGGUGUUGGGGUGAAUUUUCAGUGUACUGUUGCAUUAGUACAUAAAAAAUAUGUUUCUAGGGGUGAAAGACCUUCACUUUUAUAGAUAUCUGGAUAAAUAUUAAAUAAAUUUAGUUUAAGGCAUAAUUACAGUGUGAUAAGAUGGUGUAAAAAGAAUUUCUAGUAAAGAUAUAGUAGCCUUUAAUUAUUCCUUAACGGCACUUUAUUUAUAACAAUAAUACAACUACUUUUUAAAUUCAAAAAUAAUAUUUUAUUAGUAUAUUAUUAAUAUUAUAAUUAAUAAUGUAUAGAUUAGUAAGUAUAAAAAUUUAAUUGAAGGAAUUCGGCAACUAACUUAUACGACUGUUUAACAAAAACAUAGCCAGUAGAUAUUUCAUUAUUGGUGUGACCUGCCCAGUGAACUUUAAACGGCCGCAGUACCCUGACUGUGCAAAGGUAGCAUAAUCAUUUGGCUUUUAAUUGGAGUCUGGAAUGAAAGGAAAAACGUAUAAAAACUGUCUCUACAUCAAAUUUAUCUAAAUUACUCAAUAAGGUGAAAAUUCCUUAAGUGUAAUAAAAGACGAGAAGACCCUUAGAAUUUUAAGAAAACCCAAUAUCAUACAUGGAGUGAUUUUUGUUGGGGCAACAUUUUUUCAUAAAAUAAAAAAUAAUUUAUAUUACAAAACGAAUAUGUAUAAUAAAGUUUAAAUUACCUAAGGGAUAACAGCAUAAUUUUAAAAAAAGAUUGUGACCUCGAUGUUGGACUAGGAACUAUUAAGGCUAAUCGUUUUAAUAUAAUAGGUUCUGUUCGAACUUUAUUUCCUA
Molecule: ribosomal RNA, 855 nt
Filed under: Montenegrina perstriata callistoma
Lineage: Eukaryota; Metazoa; Mollusca; Gastropoda; Stylommatophora; Clausiliidae
Description: partial 16S ribosomal RNA
Source: RNAcentral